UAAUACGGAGGAUGCAAGCGUUAUCCGGAUUUAUUGGGUUUAAAGGGUGCGCAGGCGGGGAUGUAAGUCAGUGGUGAAAUACUGCCGCUUAACAGUAGGGUUGCCAUUGAUACUGCAUUUCUUGAGUUUGGAUGAGGUAGGCGGAAUGUGUGGUGUAGCGGUGAAAUGCAUAGAUAUCACACAGAACACCGAUUGCGAAGGCAGCUUACUAAUCCAUGACUGACGCUGAGGCACGAAAGCGUGGGGAGCGAACAGGAUUAGAUACCCUGGUAGUCCACGCCGUAAACGAUGUUCACUCGCUGUUUGCGAUAUACGGCAAGCGGCUUAGCAAAAGCAUUAAGUGAACCACCUGGGGAGUACGAUCGCAAGGUUG
RNAcentral lists this ribosomal RNA (373 nucleotides) under uncultured Bacteroidota bacterium. RNAcentral describes it as "bacterial SSU rRNA". It matches the Rfam family "Bacterial small subunit ribosomal RNA", at positions 521 to 896 of the family's 1533-position model. The record is from RNAcentral. Lineage: Bacteria; Pseudomonadati; Bacteroidota.